RNAcentral lists this ribosomal RNA (498 nucleotides) under uncultured bacterium. Its description in RNAcentral is "partial 16S ribosomal RNA". It matches the Rfam family "Bacterial small subunit ribosomal RNA", at positions 899 to 1397 of the family's 1533-position model. The record is from RNAcentral.
ACUCAAAGGAAUUGACGGGGGCCCGCACAAGCGGAGGAGCAUGUGGUUUAAUUCGAUGAUACGCGAGGAACCUUACCAGGGCUUGAAAGACAGGAGACCGGCGCCGAAAGGUGUCUUUUCUUCGGAACUGCUGUCUAGGUGCUGCAUGGCUGUCGUCAGCUCGUGCCGUGAGGUGUCGGGUUAAGUCCCAUAACGAGCGCAACCCCUAUCACUAGUUGCCAACAGGUAAUGCUGGGGACUCUAGUGAAACUGCCCGCGCAAGCGGUGAGGAAGGCGGGGAUGACGUCAAGUCAGCACGGCCCUUACGUCCUGGGCUACACACGUGCUACAAUGGUAGGUACAGAGGGCAGCUACACCGCGAGGUGAUGCAAAUCUCCAAAACCUAUCUCAGUUCGGAUCGAAGUCUGCAACUCGACUUCGUGAAGCUGGAUUCGCUAGUAAUCGCAUAUCAGCAAUGAUGCGGUGAAUACGUUCCCGGGCCUUGCACACACCGCCCGU